AUUGAACGCUGGCGGCAGGCUUAACACAUGCAAGUCGAGCGGGGUGAUGGUGCUUGCACUAUCACUUAGCGGCGGACGGGUGAGUAAUGCUUAGGAAUCUGCCUAUUAGUGGGGGACAACAUCUCGAAAGGGAUGCUAAUACCGCAUACGUCCUACGGGAGAAAGCAGGGGAUCACUUGUGACCUUGCGCUAAUAGAUGAGCCUAAGUCGGAUUAGCUAGUUGGUGGGGUAAAGGCCUACCAAGGCGACGAUCUGUAGCGGGUCUGAGAGGAUGAGCCGCCACACAGGGACUGAGACACGGCCCAGACUCCUACGGGGUGCAUCAGUGGGGAAUAUUGGACAAUGGGGGGGAACCCUGAUCCAGCCAUGCCGCGUGUGUGACGAAAGCCUUAUGGUUGUAAAGCACUUUAAGCGAGGAGGAGGCUCUUUUGGUUAAUACCCAAGAUGAGUGGACGUUACUCGCAGAAUAAGCACCGGCUAACUCUGUGCCAGCCGCCGCGGUAA
RNAcentral lists this ribosomal RNA (504 nucleotides) under uncultured bacterium. RNAcentral's name for it is "partial 16S ribosomal RNA". It matches the Rfam family "Bacterial small subunit ribosomal RNA", at positions 30 to 523 of the family's 1533-position model. The record is from RNAcentral.